GACGAACGCUGGCGGCGUGCUUAACACAUGCAAGUCGAACGGAAUGGCCCUGCUUUUGUGGGGUGCUCGAGUGGCGAACGGGUGAGUAACACGUGAGUAACCUGCCCUUGACUUUGGGAUAACUUCAGGAAACUGGGGCUAAUACCGUAUAGGAUCUCCUGCUGCAUGGUGGGGGUUGGAAAGUUUCGGCGGUUGGGGAUGGACUCGCGGCUUAUCAGCUUGUUGGUGGGGGAGUGGCUUACCAAGGCUUUGACGGGUAGCCGGCCUGAGAGGGUGACCGGGCACAAUGGGACUGAGGUACGGACCAGACUCCUACGGGAGGCAGCAGUGGGGAAUAUUGCACAAUGGUAGGAAGUGUGAUGCAGAAACGCCGCGUGCGGGAUGACGGCCUUUGGGUUGUAAAACGCUUUCGCCUGUGACGAAGCGUGAGUGACGGUAAUGGGUAAAGAAGCACCGGCUAACUACGUG
This 468-nucleotide ribosomal RNA is filed under the name uncultured bacterium. RNAcentral describes it as "partial 16S ribosomal RNA". It matches the Rfam family "Bacterial small subunit ribosomal RNA", at positions 28 to 507 of the family's 1533-position model. The record is from RNAcentral.